AACGAACGCUGGCGGCAGGGCCUAACACAUGCAAGUCGAGCGCCCCGCAAGGGGAGCGGCGGACGGGUGAGUAACGCGUGGGAACGUACCCUUUGCUACGGAAUAGCCUCGGGAAACUGGGAGUAAUACCGUAUGUGCCCUUCGGGGGAAAGAUUUAUCGGCAAAGGAUCGGCCCGCGUUGGAUUAGGUAGUUGGUGGGGUAAUGGCCUACCAAGCCGACGAUCCAUAGCUGGUUUGAGAGGAUGAUCAGCCACACUGGGACUGAGACACGGCCCAGACUCCUACGGGAGGCAGCAGUGGGGAAUCUUAGACAAUGGGCGCAAGCCUGAUCUAGCCAUGCCGCGUGAGCGAUGAAGGCCUUAGGGUUGUAAAGCUCUUUCAGGUGGGGAAGAUAAUGACUGUACCCACAGAAGAAGCCCCGGCUAACUCCGUG
This 433-nucleotide ribosomal RNA is filed under the name uncultured bacterium. RNAcentral describes it as "bacterial SSU rRNA". It matches the Rfam family "Bacterial small subunit ribosomal RNA", at positions 29 to 507 of the family's 1533-position model. The record is from RNAcentral.